CGUAGCUAGCUAACAAGGAGACUAAUGAUUGUUGAUGAUGCUGUAAAACAUAUGUAUUUCAGGAAACCGAGGAAAUGGCAGGGCAAACGUCGCAUGACAGUGGUUUGUGGGAUUUUCUUCGAAAGCGAGGUGUUGCAGAAGAAAAUAUUGACCGAAUGCAACAAGACAAGAUUGACUCAUCGCUUGUCAGAGAAAUAGAAGAUGCCUACCUUGCACGCUAUAUACCAGUUUAUGGGGACAGGAUUGCUCUGAGGCGAUACUGUCUGGACAAAGAAAAACAAAAAGACAAUAGUUCAAGGAUGUCCCUUCUUGAAAAACUUCGAAAGAAACUAAAGACAGCAACAGCAGGUCAAGAUGAGGAGUCUGAACAGGAACCCUGGCCUGCAAAGAGUGCAAAAAAACCAAGCCGUGAUUGUUCUAAAAAUGCUGUGAAGAGUUCAAGAAAAAUUGAGUUAGGGUGGAUCCAUGAGGGAAAACAAAUGAGAAAGCGUUCUGGUGGUGGCACCAGGGUACUUGAGGUAUCCAAGAAUUCAACCAAAACUGACAUUUUGUCACAUGCCAAAGAACUGUUUUUUCCAGGUGGUGAAUCAACAAAAGGAAAAUGGGAAGACUUCCUACACGAUAUUUAUGACUUUAAGGAGUCACGCCUUGAUGAGAGCAGUACUGUUGGUGCGUUGUACACAGUGUCAAAAUUGGGGAUUUUACGAUUCUACCUAAACACAACAUGCCUCGUUGACUCAUCCGACGCAGAAGUGGACAGGAAAGGGGACAAGUAUGGUGUCACUAUUGUAGAGCAGCAGAGACAGACCAAUUCUGAUGAGCACCAAGAAAAGCCAGCCAGACUGAAUGAAUCACAAAGAAAACAAUCUGGUGGUAAUCCACAUAAUGACCCUCCCUCAGAGAUUCAGCUGGAUGAUGCUGUCCCAGUUUUCACUGCAGUCGAGGAAGUCAUCAAUGAUGCCCCCUCCACAUCCACCCCUGUGUCAGGGGACCAUGAUCAAAAUACUGAUGACUACUCAAGUUUUGAUGCAGGCUUUGACCAACAUCAUGUGAAUCUUAAACUACAUAGAGUAAAUCUCUUAGAGGAAAUGAUUUGUCAAUUCAAAGAUGAGUCAAUUUUGAAGUACCCUUUAAAGUUUGCUUUUGUUAAUGAAUGGGGUGCAGAUGCAGAUGGUGUGUCCAGAGAUGCCUAUGCUGCUUUUUGGACAGAGUUCUUGGAUUCUGCAGCAGAGGGGGCGGAAAUGAGGGUGCCAUCCCUGUCACCAAAAUGGCAGGAGGAAGAGUGGAAAGCUGUGGGAAGAAUAUUGGCCAAAGGAUUUGUGGAUCAGGGAUACUUUCCGCUGCGCCUUGCCCCAGCAUUUACCACAGCACUAAUAUUUGGAGAGCAUGCUGUAUCUACUGAUUCACUGUUUGAAUCUUUGAUGCUGUACCUGAGUCAGUGUGAGAGAGAGCUCAUAACCGCUGCCUUAGAGGGAGACCUUGAUAGUGAUGGCCAGGAUGAGUUAUUAGAUCUGCUGGAUCGCCUGGGAGUGAAAGCUGUUCCAUCACAAGCCAACCUAAAAGCCGUCCUCCUUCAAGUGGCACACAAACAAAUAAUACAGCAGCCAAAGUAUGCUCUUGAUAACAUGUCAGCAGUUGCAGCACAACUCCUGAAGACCACCAUCACCACAACAGCAAAAAUACAGAUCAUGUAUACAGACAAAAAAACAACUUGCAGGAAAGUCCUGAAGCUAAUUGAAGCAAGUCCAGAGACUCCAGCUGAGAGACAAGCCCUUGGAUUUUUACAACAGUACAUACGAGGACUG
RNAcentral lists this long non-coding RNA (1805 nucleotides) under Sparus aurata (gilthead seabream). RNAcentral's name for it is "lncRNA (ENSSAUG00010021263.1)". The record is from RNAcentral. Lineage: Eukaryota; Metazoa; Chordata; Actinopteri; Spariformes; Sparidae.